Molecule: long non-coding RNA, 350 nt
Filed under: Glycine max (soybean)
Lineage: Eukaryota; Viridiplantae; Streptophyta; Magnoliopsida; Fabales; Fabaceae
Description: long non-coding RNA (GMAX_LNC003401)
Source: RNAcentral
GAAGGGCUUGCUUCAGAGUGAUCAAGAGCUGUUCUCGACACCUGGUGCCGAUACCAUCCCCAUUGUCAACAGGUUCAGCAGUGACCAGAAAGUUUUCUUUGACGCCUUUGAGGCUUCAAUGAUUAAGAUGGGUAACAUUGGUGUGCUCACUGGGAAGAAAGGAGAAAUCAGAAAACAUUGUAACUUUGUUAACAAGAAAUCUGUUGAAGUUGAUAUUGCUAGUGUGGCCUCAGAAGAAUCAUCAACAGAGGGUAUGGUUACCUCAAUCUAAAUGGAUUAGGAUGAAUAGUUUUCACUUAAAAUGGUGUGAUUAGAGACCACAAAUAAAGAAGCUAUAGGCACAUUCAUGC